GACUAGCAAUUAGUCUUGCUGGCUCAUUGUUCCCCUAGCUGGCCCUUUGCUUGGCUCUCUUUCAUCAGUAGCUUUGUUAUGCUCCAGGGCUGCCAUUGGUGGUUUCUUUUCAGGCCAUCUUUUUCUUCUCAGCUAACUAUGCAAGGAACUAGAACAGGGAGAAGAAUCCAGGUUGCCCAUGACCUUUCUACCCACUACUCUCGAGUCUCCUUGGGACUCCUUCCAACCUAGACAUGAGCUACUGUUCUUGCACAGCCUCUGCGGAGUCUCAGUGGCUGUGGCUAUGAGAAGAGUUAAUUGGUGCACUCUCAGCCUGGGCACUGGGGAGGCCAGAGAGCUGUGGGACAGGACCUGCAAUGUGGACUGGGGCUUCCAAAUCUGCAAAGUGAGAGUCCCACUGAUGCUCACAAGGGAUGCUGAAGGGACAGUCUGCAAAGCAGUGGUUAUUUUCUUCUCUGACUCCUGACAGGGUAUCAGCAGGACAGUGAUGUAUCCUGUUAGCAGCUAAGAGCCUCAGUUCCUGCCUCCAGAACCCCUACCAAGUAAACCCCAGCUCUGUACAGUGGGAUUAACUGGUGCUUUUUAGUAACAAUGCUAGAAGAUUAUAAAUGUUUCCUUUCCAAUUAUUCCUCUAUGAAGGAAUAAAUCUCAAAGAUGAUUAUCUCU
This 666-nucleotide long non-coding RNA is filed under the name Mus musculus (house mouse). RNAcentral describes it as "predicted gene, 48393". The record is from RNAcentral. Lineage: Eukaryota; Metazoa; Chordata; Mammalia; Rodentia; Muridae.